Molecule: ribosomal RNA, 423 nt
Filed under: uncultured bacterium
Lineage: Bacteria
Description: bacterial SSU rRNA
Rfam family: Bacterial small subunit ribosomal RNA
Source: RNAcentral
AAGACCUUGCGCUUUUGGAGCGGCCGAUGUCUGAUUAGCUUGUUGGUGAGGUAAAAGCUUACCAAGGCUUCGAUCAGUAGCUGGUCUGAGAGGACGACCAGCCACACUGGGACUGAGACACGGCCCAGACUCCUACGGGAGGCAGCAGUGGGGAAUUUUGGACAAUGGGGGCAACCCUGAUCCAGCCAUGCCGCGUGAGUGAAGAAGGCCUUCGGGUUGUAAAGCUCUUUCAGCCGGAACGAAACGGUUACGGUUAAUACCCGUGACUACUGACGGUACCGGAAGAAGAAGCACCGGCUAACUACGUGCCAGCAGCCGCGGUAAUACGUAGGGUGCGAGCGUUAAUCGGAAUUACUGGGCGUAAAGCGUACGCAGGUGGUUUUGUAAGUCAGAUGUGAAAUCCCCGGGCUCAACCUGGGAACU